GUAGGGAAUAUUGGACAAUGGGGGCAACCCUGAUCCAGCGACGCCGCGUGAGUGAUGAAGGCCUUCGGGUCGUAAAGCUCUGUUGCAGGGGAAGAACACAAUGACGGUACCCUGCUAGAAAGGAUCGGCUAACUUCGUGCCAGCAGCCGCGGUAAGACGAGGGAUCCUAGCGUUGUUCGGAAUUAUUGGGCGUAAAGCGGGUGCAGGUGGCUUGGUAAGUCAGAUGUGAAAGCCUGGGGCUUAACCCCAGAAGUGCAUUUGAUACUGCUGAGCUUGAGUGCUGGAGAGGCUAUUAGAAUUCCUGGUGUAGUGGUGAAAUACGUAGAUAUCAGGAGGAAUACCGGAGGCGAAGUCGGAUAGCUGGCCAGACACUGACACUCAGACCCGAAAGCGUGGGGAUCAAACAGGAUUAGAAACCCGGGUAGUCC
Molecule: ribosomal RNA, 428 nt
Filed under: uncultured bacterium
Lineage: Bacteria
Description: partial 16S ribosomal RNA
Rfam family: Bacterial small subunit ribosomal RNA
Source: RNAcentral